CCUUCCUUCAUCUUGGCCGUCCAGUGCCUUGUACACGUUCUUCUUCUUGGCUGACUUUUACCAGAAUGAGUGAUCCAGCUUCUUAGAAGAGGUUGCUGCCAGCAUUACAACAGCUAAUGAAUAUGGGACCCCUCUCACUCUUGCUCUUCAGGGACCACUCGUGUAAUGAGCCAGGCACUUUUCCAAUCAGAGGGACUGUUAAGAUCUCUGACAACAGAACCUGUCAUUGUUUGAAGAGCAGAUUUCCACAGUGACCUGUACGCUUGGUGAUCCAGGCUUCUAUGAAAGGGAUUGUCCGAGAAACAACAAUCGCCCAGAUGAAUGUGAAAGCAAAGGUCAUGAUUUCUGCUUUUGUCAUCCUGAGUGAGGCCGAGGGACGGCUGAGGUUGCCACGACAGCACCUGCACCAGGAGGGAGACCUGGAAUAGACUCUCCUGUGGAACCUUCAGAAGGAAUCACCUGCUGACACCUGGAUCCGGGGCUGCUCCAGAGCCAUGAGACACUAGAGUAUGUGGUUAUUUCCUGGUCACCUGGCUGUCUAGCUGAUAUCCGGGGAACUGAAAAGCCCCACAGGAACAACUAUGAAACAGACUUCAGGGGAAAUUUAUGGCUUCCGUUUUCUUUGAUUGAAACCAAAGAGAAAAGUUAGUAGGUUUUGGAUCUUCGCUUUUAAACUGGUUCAUCAUUACCCUUAACUUCUUCUCUAAGAAGCAAGUCAUUUGGACUCUUUCAGAAAUGGAACUGUGGCCACCCCCAGCUCCCAGCUUAUCCAGUUCGCUUGAGUUGAGUGAAUUGUCUGCCUCCUCAGGGAGGGCCUCAGGGCACUUGGAGGGGAAGGUGGCCUACUUGCAGGGUGGAGGAAAGGGGAAGAUUGCUUUUAUUUACCCAAAGUUGGGCAGCUAUAUUAACAGUCCCGUAGCACUGCCAUGUCCUGUUAGAUGUUUGUAAAAGGCUGCUGGGCUGUGCACAUGUACAUCUUAGUGUUCUGAGCUCGGCCUCAUUUAACACGGUGUUUCAGAAGCCUGCUCUUCACUUUCCUUUUGAAUAUGUCUUCCUUGAAGAACACAUUUAAAUGAGUUCCCAUCUCAAUCUAAAAGGAGUUUUUUAAAUUGGGGUGGAGUUGCUUUACAGUAUUGUGUUAGUUUCUGCUGUACAAGAAAGGGAAUCAGCUCUAAGUGUACCUGUGCCCUUCCCUCUGGAGCCUCCCUCCCACUCCCAGCCCAGCCCACCCCUCCAGGUCA
Long non-coding RNA from Bubalus bubalis (water buffalo), 1241 nucleotides. RefSeq lists it as uncharacterized. The transcript is spliced from 7 exons. Lineage: Eukaryota; Metazoa; Chordata; Mammalia; Artiodactyla; Bovidae. The record is from RefSeq and is a predicted model, not a curated record.